This 311-nucleotide long non-coding RNA is filed under the name Mus spicilegus (steppe mouse). RNAcentral's name for it is "lncRNA (ENSMSIG00000016309.1)". Lineage: Eukaryota; Metazoa; Chordata; Mammalia; Rodentia; Muridae. The record is from RNAcentral.
UUUGAAGCCGGCGCGUUUGAAGCUGCGGCGCGUGUUUGAAGCUGCGGCGUUUGAAGCUGUCGGGCUUGAAGCUGGCGCGUGUGUUUGAAGCUGCGGCAUUUGAUGUUCCUGAGGACGUUUGUAAAUUUGAGACAGACUUUAAUAUUGUUAGACGAUCACUUGGCCUUGGACUCUGCUUUCUUGAAAAUAGCUGACUUGAAGUUAUUUCCCUUCAUCAGCUGAAAAUUUCUGAUUUUGGAAGAACAGAAAUUUGAAGAAAAAGAACAUGAAGUGAUUAAGAGAUUCAGGAUUGCUGAAUAUUAAUGAGCUGG